RNAcentral lists this non-coding RNA (30 nucleotides) under Homo sapiens (human). The record is from RNAcentral. Lineage: Eukaryota; Metazoa; Chordata; Mammalia; Primates; Hominidae.
UAGGGCUGGCUGGAGGGGAGCUCAGGGCGC